UUGUCUCAAAGAUUAAGCCAUGCAUGUCUCAGUACAAGCCGCAUUAAGGUGAAACCGCGAAAGGCUCAUUAAAUCAGUUAUGGUUCCUUAGAUCGUACCCACACUUACUUGGAUAACUGUGGUAAUUCUAGAGCUAAUACAUGCAAACAGAGCUCCGACCGGAUACGGGAGGAGUGCUUUUAUUAGAUCAAAACCAAUCGGCGGCGGGCGCGUUCGCGCGUCCGUUCGCCGCUCUACCUGGUGACUCUGAAUAACUUUACGCUGAUCGCACGGUCUCGCACCGGCGACGCAUCUUUCAAAUGUCUGCCUUAUCAACUGUCGAUGGUAGGUUCUGCGCCUACCAUGGUCGUAACGGGUAACGGGGAAUCAGGGUUCGAUUCCGGAGAGGGAGCCUGAGAAACGGCUACCACAUCCAAGGAAGGCAGCAGGCGCGCAAAUUACCCACUCCCGGCACGGGGAGGUAGUGACGAAAAAUAACGAUACGGGACUCAUCCGAGGCCCCGUAAUCGGAAUGAGUACACUUUAAAUCCUUUAACGAGGACCAAUUGGAGGGCAAGUCUGGUGCCAGCAGCCGCGGUAAUUCCAGCUCCAAUAGCGUA
This 599-nucleotide ribosomal RNA is filed under the name Tiporus lachlani. RNAcentral's name for it is "SSU rRNA". It matches the Rfam family "Eukaryotic small subunit ribosomal RNA", at positions 32 to 601 of the family's 1831-position model. Lineage: Eukaryota; Metazoa; Arthropoda; Insecta; Coleoptera; Dytiscidae. The record is from RNAcentral.